Molecule: ribosomal RNA, 492 nt
Filed under: uncultured bacterium
Lineage: Bacteria
Description: partial 16S ribosomal RNA
Rfam family: Bacterial small subunit ribosomal RNA
Source: RNAcentral
AGUGAACGCUGGCGGUAGGCCUAACACAUGCAAGUCGAACGGCAGCACAGUAAGAGCUUGCUCUUACGGGUGGCGAGUGGCGGACGGGUGAGGAAUACAUCGGAAUCUACUUUUUCGUGGGGGAUGACGUAGGGAAACUUACGCUAAUACCGCAUACGACCUACGGGUGAAAGCAGGGGAUCUUCGGACCUUGCGCGAUUGAAUGAGCUGAUGUCGGAUUAGCUAGUUGGCGGGGUAAAGGCCCACCAAGGCGACGAUCCGUAGCUGGUCUGAGAGGAUGAUCAGCCACACUGGAACUGAGACACGGUCCAGACUCCUACGGGAGGCAGCAGUGGGGAAUAUUGGACAAUGGGCGCAAGCCUGAUCCAGCCAUACCGCGUGGGUGAAGAAGGCCUUCGGGUUGUAAAGCCCUUUUGUUGGGAAAGAAAAGCAGCAGGUUAAUACCCCGCUGUUCUGACGGUACCCAAAGAAUAAGCACCGGCUAACUUCGUG